RNAcentral lists this ribosomal RNA (407 nucleotides) under uncultured bacterium. RNAcentral describes it as "partial 16S ribosomal RNA". It matches the Rfam family "Bacterial small subunit ribosomal RNA", at positions 30 to 526 of the family's 1533-position model. The record is from RNAcentral.
AUUGAACGCUGGCGGCAGGCCUAACACAUGCAAGUCGAGCGGAGCGGCGGAAGGGUGAGUAAUGCCUAGGAAUCUGCCUGGUAGUGGGGGAUAAGGUCGGGAAACGGGCGCUGAUACUGAAUACUAUUAGAAGAGGCUAGGUCGGAUUAGCUAGUUGGUGGGGUAAAGGCCGACCAAGGCGACGAUCAGUAACUGGGCUGAGAGGAUGAUCAGUCACACUGGAACUGAGACACGGUCCAGACUCCUACGGGAGGCAGCAGUGGGGAAUAUUGGACAAUGGGCGAAAGCCUGAUCCAGCCAUGCCGCGUGUGUGAAGAAGGUCUUCGGAUUGUAAAGCCCUUUAAGUUGGGAGGCGUUACCAACAGAAUAAGGACCGGCUAACUUCGUGCCAGCAGCCGCGGUAAUAC